UACGGUCUCUCAGACCUGGUGCUGUACCUGCCUGAGAUUGGUCAGUUCGUUGAUAUACGUCAGAGCACGCGCCUCCGUGAGAAGCAGUACGGCAAUAUACUGGAAGCGAGGUUGAAAAUCCCGCAGGAUCAGUAUCGCGAUUCGAUGGCGGAAACAUGCGAGAUCGAGACACAGGCACGGCGCAAGGGAACAGUGGACUUGAAAUCCAUCGACUCGGAGUACGGCUUCCACGCAGUGUCGAAAGGUGGGCACAGGACGGCAAAAGAUAAAAAAGAGUUCUACAGCCGAGGGCUGAUGCUAUUCCGGUUGCGGCAACACCGCUCAAACAAGGAUGGAGGCUACGCUACUACCUAGCUGCACAAUCAUACAAUCACACAAUCAUUCACACAAUCAUACUCUUCCGCCAAGCUGCAUACAGCACAGUCAUACAAUCAUUCACACAAGCUACCACCUAGCUUUACAUGGCACAAUAAUACAAUCAUUCACACAAUCAUACGCUACUACCUAGCUGCACAAUCAUAAAAUCACACAAUCAUUCACACAAUCAUACUCUUUCACCAAGCUGCAUACAGCACAGUCAUACAAUCAUUCACACAAGCAUAAACUACCUCCUAGCUUUACAUGGCACAAUAAUACAAUCAUUCACACAAUCAUACGCUACUACCUAGCCGCACAAUCACACAAUCAUUCACACAAGCAUACGCUACCUCCUGGCUUCACAAUCAUACAAUCACGUAGCUUAACACAUCACAACAAGCUACGUUCUACCUUUCUUAGGACAUUCCUUCAUUCACCUUUCUUUUCUAGGAUACGCCUGUAUCUAUACCCUGUAUAUUAUUCAGUGACUAUUUUGUAAAAAAAUUAAUAUACAUGUAGGUAUAAUGUAAACUUAAGAGCAAACUGUGU
Long non-coding RNA from Physella acuta, 906 nucleotides. RefSeq lists it as uncharacterized. The record is from RefSeq and is a predicted model, not a curated record. Lineage: Eukaryota; Metazoa; Mollusca; Gastropoda; Physidae.